This 242-nucleotide ribosomal RNA is filed under the name Dactylopterus volitans (flying gurnard). RNAcentral's name for it is "partial 28S ribosomal RNA". The record is from RNAcentral. Lineage: Eukaryota; Metazoa; Chordata; Actinopteri; Syngnathiformes; Dactylopteridae.
CAGAAUCCCGCCUAGACGUAACGAUACCAUAGUGCCGCGGAACUUCGGUUGGCCACGGAUAGCCGGCUCCGGCCGGUGAGCAGUGCCGUUCGUGAAAGGGCUGGGGUGCGUUCGGAUGGCGUUCGCCCCUCCCCUCUCUCGCAUCACAUGUUUGUGGAGANCCUGGUGCUAAAUGACCUGCAGACGACCUGAUUCUGGGUCAGGGUUUCGUGCGUCGNAGAGCAGCUCACUCGCUGCGAUCU